Molecule: long non-coding RNA, 2081 nt
Filed under: Homo sapiens (human)
Lineage: Eukaryota; Metazoa; Chordata; Mammalia; Primates; Hominidae
Description: HSALNT0284695
Source: RNAcentral
AGCAAACCUCCAUGGCACAUGUAUACUUAUGUAACAAAUCUGCGUGUUAUGCACAUGUAUUCCAGAAUUAAAUUAAAAUUUAAAAAAAAAGUCAUAGAAGUUUGUUUGUUUACAUCUAUGCUUGCUUUCCCAUUGUGAUGGCAGAGUGUAAUAGUUGUAACUGCAUUGUCCUUAGGUCUAAAAUAUUGGCUGUUGGGCUGUUUACAGAAAAGUUUUCUGACCCCUGUCUUAAAAAAUUAGCCUUCCUGUACAUUCAUCUCUAUCAGUUUCUCUAGGACAAAUUCUAUCCAGAUGAUAACAUGUACAAAUAGCUGUUUUUCAGCACUCUGAGACUUAGUCAGUUUACCCCUACUACAGGUGAACUUCCUCCAUUGUAACUGAUUUUUUUUAAAGUAUAUGAUUUAGUUCAUAUUCUUGUGCUUGAGUCAUUUGGCUUUGUAGUCUGCCUAAUACUCUUGUAUCUGGGUCUUGCCUUUGCUUUGAUUUCUAUCUUCCUGCCUUAAUUCCUGUUACUGAACCUUAGCACGGUGACUAGAGCUCUACUAUCCAUUGGACAUCUUCCACUCUGCCUCUUGCUUACCCAGACUUUGAGUAUCACUACCCUAUAGCUGUUAUCCAUCCAUUAGUUGAAGCACAUGGCUGCCUACAGGCAUGCUUGCCUAGGUUACAAAGUACAGCUAUUAUUCACUUUGAAUGCUAUACGUUGGAUGAUGGAUUGUGUUCACAGCACCAUUGACUGAGUUGGUCCAAAUGUGUGUUUCUCAUCCAGGUGUAGAGUUUGUUUCAGAUCCCAGUCCUCCAAGUUUUCUUCAUCCUAUCCUAUAACAGCAUUCCAUUUUGUGAACAUACUAGAAUCCAUUUAUCUACUGCUUGCUUAUUAUGAAUGCUAUCAAGACACAUUUCAAGAGCUACUAGAACUCUCAUCAACUGUGGGAAGGCAAGUUGGUAUAAACACUGGAAAACAGUUUGGAAGUUUAUACAAAAAAUAACAUAUGUGUACUUUUCAGACAGUCUUUACACUAAUAAGUAUAUACCCAACAGAUAAACUGUAUAUUUCUACCCAAUUAGUAGAAGAAUGUUUACAACAGCAUCAUUUUUCUUUUUCAAUUUAGCCAUUCUACAGGGUAUGUAGUGUUAUAAAGUUCUGGUUUUACUUUUAAUUUCUCUUGAUGACUAAUGAAGCUCAGCACCCACUCCCAAUUUAAAUAUCAUUUCUGUAAGGUACUUAUUUGAGUUUUUUGCUCAUUUAAAAAAAGAUUUUCUCUUUUCCUAUUUAUUUGAUAAAAGCUCUUUAUAUAUUCUGGAUCUAAACCUUUUUUGAGGGGAAUAUGUUUUGUAAAUACCUUUUCCCACUUUGUGGGCUAUCUAUUCACUCUUCCUAUUGGCGUCUUCUGAUGAACAGAAGUUUAAGUCAUAAUAUAGUCCAAUUUAUCAAUUUUCUAUUUAUCAUUGGUAAUCUUAAUGUCUUGUUUGAAAAUAUGUGUCUACUCCAAAGUCAUAAAGGUGUCUUUAUAUACUUUCACGUAAAUUUUCUAUUUUUUAAAGAAAUUCUUUGAUAUUUCUAUUUUUAUGGAAAUUCUUUGAUAUUUAGGUCCUCUGUUUAUCUGGCCUUUUUAUGAUGUCAUGUAAGAGCAAAAAUUAAUCCCUAUGUUGGAUAUCAUAUUGACCCUGUGACUCAUUUACUGAAAAAUGAUACUUUCCACAGUGCUAUGUAGUUUCAACUUUAUCAUAUACUAGAUGAUCAAUACAGGUAUGCAUCUAUUUGUGGACCCUCUUAGAUUGUCCGUUGUUCUAUUUGUUUAUUCUUGUGUCAAUAUUAAACUUUAUUAAAUUUCAGUAAGAGGCCAUGACUUUUGUAGUAUAAAUUCUCCAGCUUUGUUCUUCCAGAUUGCCUUGGUUAUUCUUUGCCAUUUGCAUUUCUAUAUAAAUUUUAAAAUCAGCUCACUGGACACAAUAAAAAGCCUGUUGAGAUUUUGAUUGGAAUCUAUAGAUAAAUUUUUGGAGAACUGACAUUAUAACAAUAUGAAGUCCUCUUAUCCAUGACCUUGGAUUUAUUCAGGUUGUUAUCAGUUUUUCUUGGU